AAGGGACCUAGCGUAGUUCGGAAUUACUGGGCUUAAAGAGUUCGUAGGUGGUUGAAAAAGUUGGUGGUGAAAUCCCAGAGCUUAACUCUGGAACUGCCAUCAAAACUUUUCAGCUAGAGUAUGAUAGAGGAAAGCAGAAUUUCUAGUGUAGAGGUGAAAUUCGUAGAUAUUAGAAAGAAUACCAAUUGCAAAGGCAGCUUUCUGGAUCAUUACUGACACUGAGGAACGAAAGCAUGGGUAGCGAAGAGGAUUAGAUACCCUCGUAGUCCAUGCCGUAAACGAUGUGUGUUAGACGUUGGAAAUUUAUUUUCAGUGUCGCAGGGAAACCGAUAAACACACCGCCUGGGGAGUACGACCGCAAGGUUAAAACUCAAAUGAAUUGACGGGGACCCGCACAAAUAGUGGAGCAUGUGGUUUAAUUCGAAGAUACGCGCAGAACCUUACCAACACUUGACAUGUUCGUCGCGACUCUAAGAGAUUAGAGUUUUCGGUUCGGCCGGACGAAACACAGGUGCUGCAUGGCUGUCGUCAGCUCGUGUCGUGAGAUGUUGGGUUAAGUCCCGCAACGAGCGCAACCCUCACUUUUAGUUGCCAUCAUUAAGUUGGGCACUCUGAAAGAACUGCCAGUGAUAAGCUGGAGGAAGGUGGGGAUGACGUCAAGUCCUCAUGGCCCUUACGUGUUGGGCUACACACGUGCUACAAUGGCAUCUACAACAGGAAGCAAAACGGCAACGUUAAGCAAAUCCCGAAAAGAUGCCUCAGUUCGGAUUGCACUCUGCAACUCGAGUGCAUGAAGCUGGAAUUACUAGUAAUCGUGGAUCAGCGUGCCACGGUGAAUGCGUUCCCGGGUCUUGUACACACCGCCCGUCGCACCAUGGGAGUUGGUUCUACCUUAAGGCAAGGUUUUAAACCCUUGACCACGGUAUAGUCAGCGACUGGGGUGAAGUCGUAACAAGGUAGCCGUAGGGGAACCUGCGGCUGGAUUACCUCCUUUCUAAGGAUGAGUGAAAGUAAAAUUUCACUCUAAAUAAUAUACAUCGGUAAUGUUGACCGUCCUCAUUUCUCUUCUUAAAGUAAUGUUUCCUUCUUGUAGGGCCGGUAGCUCAGUUGGUUAGAGCACACCCUUGAUAAGGGUGGGGUCGAAAGUUCGAGUCUUUCUCGGCCCACCAAAAACCUAAAUGGGGGGAUUAGCUCAUCUGGGAGAGCGCCUGAUUUGCAUUCAGGAGGUAGCAGGUUCGAUCCCUGUAUCCUCCACCAGGAAACAUUUAGUUAUUAAAACUGUAAAUAAAAAUAAUUUAUAUCAAUAUCUAUAUCCGAACAUUAAAAGUUAUUAUUUAAUGUUCAAAAUAAAAAUUUGAUCACAACAUAGGUAAAUUUUCUUUAAAAAGAAUUUUUUUCUGUGCAUAAAUCAAGCGUUUAAGGGCGUGUAGUGGAUGCCUUGGCACUGAAAGCCGAUGAAGGACGUGAUAUACUGCGAUAAGUUUCGGGGAGCUGUAUGUAAGCUUUGAUCCGAAAAUUU
This 1519-nucleotide small RNA is filed under the name uncultured Arctic sea ice bacterium. RNAcentral's name for it is "bacterial SSU rRNA". The stretch from base 1 to 994 matches the Rfam family "Bacterial small subunit ribosomal RNA", at positions 528 to 1533 of the family's 1533-position model. The record is from RNAcentral.